CCCGACCACCUUGCAUAAUGCUAGCCUCUUCUUUGUAGCCACUUGCAUCCCCUCAAAUGUGUUACAUAUCAUUAUAGCUGGACUUAAAGGCUUGAUAUUAAAGCAUUUAUUUUGACAGCAAUAAGCAAUGUUUUAUUGUCUUUAAAAAGAUAUAAAUAUAUAUAUGUAUGUGUGACAAAAAAUAAAGAUUAAAUAAGGUCCCCGAGAUCUUUGGGGAAUCUGACGUUUUCAUACCAAAACAAAAAUCACAGGAGUCCCAGUCCGAAUCCACGUUUGUCCUCAAACCCUGACCUCUAAAGUUUUCGAUAUCUUUGAAAAGUCAUAUCCAACAACAAACAUCAUCUUUCCUGGCUUCUUCUGGCAAAAUGGGCCAAAUUGUUGUGAUUGUGGGUACAGAAACGUUUAAGCAAACCUCCUUAUAAAGGAUCUUCGGCUCUUUACUGCAAAAAAAAAAAAAAACUGCAUACAGUCAUAUACAAAUCGUAUACCAGUGAAUUCCCUUAAUCUGCGUGCAGAUAAAAGCGACGUCGACACCUCAAGUUGCCAAAGUCAUGCGUUUGAAGAACUCUUUUGACACUUCUCAAAGAGGAAAUCUUGUUUUAAACCCAUCCCAUUUGCUUUCCUGAUUGAAUGCGAGCAUCAGAUUUUCAUCAAAGUUCUAUUAAGUGAAACAUAGGUUGCGGGGCACCGUCUGAUUGGAACAGUUUAAAUUUUAAUUGUGUUUUUAAUUUGACAUAUAGUUGCUGUGAAGAAUGACACUGAAACGCCGAGGGGCGGUCGAUUUUCUUAAUUUCUCCCCGAGGAAUUGAUGAGUCUAUCAGGGCAGUAGAUUGGAAAGCCAUUAAAACUCAAUGGUUAGGUUGUUAAUUGGAACUUGAUGGAUAGGAGCCCUUGGAUAGGCUGUACUGAUCCAAUCUUCCUGACUUUGUGUUUUCCAAUAAAUUACCCAGUUCAUUUCCACACUCAGAUUACAUAAAUUGUACACCUCCAGGGCUUGGGUGCUCUGCUUGCGUUUACAACUCUCUCUCUCUCUCUCUCUCUCUCUCUCUCUCUCCCCCCCUCUCUCUCUCAGGCGCGCACACCCUCAUACACACAAAAUAUGCGCGCACGGAGGCACCCAAACGCCUCCUGAAAAAAGAGCAGGCCCCGCUUUCUUGAAUGAAAAUCGAAACAUAAUCAACGUUUAUACUUAGAAAAUUUAUUGAUAUCAUUUUCUCUGGUAAUUUCCUUAUUCUAGACUUGGACACGCCAUAUAUCAUAAUACACACGUGUAACGGGUCUUUGUUUAAUAUUUAUCGAAGCUUGAUUCCCAGAUCAAAGCGCCUCAUAACUUCAUCUGUCUUUCUCAGACCGUUCUCUCUUGCUAAAGAUCUUGUUCUGUUAUUGCGGUAGGGCGGCCAUACACCACCUAUCAUUGUGAUAGAGCGCGGACUUAGGCCCACUCCUUGCUGUUUGGGCUUCGCCGGGCCUUGAAACGUAAGUAACAUAGGUAAGGGAUGAACAUUUCCAUUCCAUUAGAAGGACCUAUACUGCUCAGCCUGUACUGCUGGUCUAUAAACACCACUUUGACAUUAAAUAAAAAAAAAUAAAAAACAUGCUUAAUUUAUUCUCUGCAGCACAAUGGCAGUCUGUUAUGUCCACUAUCUCCGUGAUGAACCAAUCUCACUUUGCAAAAGUCGUCUGAAAGUGUUGAAGGCGCCUGCGCCGACAAAGGUCUUUGUUUGAAAGGAGCGGCAUAUAAAAUAAACCCAUUUAACUGUCAUUGCAGAUUUCACGCCUUAUGUGUAACCACCAUAAAUUCAGCAUCCACCCUGGCUGCCCUCAUAUAUUUGCCCCCCUUCAGUAAAAGCCUCCCCUGCGUAAGCGUUUUAGUAAGAUCAUUUAGCAGCUGCUGGUCCCACUGCCAGUUGAGGAUAUUUACGCGUGGAUCCGGAUGCAUCCAUCUGACUGCCGUGAUGCAGCUGCUGACAGAAUCGGCCGUCAGCAGCAGCAUCAGGAGCAGCAUCACGUCCACAGCCACCG
Long non-coding RNA from Astatotilapia calliptera (eastern happy), 2022 nucleotides. The record is from Ensembl. Lineage: Eukaryota; Metazoa; Chordata; Actinopteri; Cichliformes; Cichlidae.